This 28-nucleotide non-coding RNA is filed under the name Drosophila erecta. RNAcentral also lists the same sequence under 6 other names. Lineage: Eukaryota; Metazoa; Arthropoda; Insecta; Diptera; Drosophilidae. The record is from RNAcentral.
CUUGGACUACAUAUGGUUGAGGGUUGUA